Melitaea cinxia (Glanville fritillary) is the source of this 387-nucleotide long non-coding RNA. RefSeq lists it as uncharacterized. The record is from RefSeq and is a predicted model, not a curated record. The transcript has 2 exons. Lineage: Eukaryota; Metazoa; Arthropoda; Insecta; Lepidoptera; Nymphalidae.
UGUGAAGAGAUAUAAUAACAAGAGGUUUAAUUGCAACGCCAUUUUGAAAAUUCUGUUUACACAAAAGAUGAUUACUGCAGAGUCUGCGAGUCAUAUAAAGCAACUUCUAGACACAACGGUUACCUGUUUAAAAGCGUUAUCGAAUAUGGGUAUAGAUACGCAUUCGUGGGAUAUAAUUAUCAACUAUUUAGUCAUUUCAAAACUGGACUCCGAGUCGAUGCGACAGUGGGAACAACAUGUGCGGACGCCGUCAUCAUUCAAUGAUUCAUGUUGAACGCGAGCCUAAAGUUGAUAAUCCAGUUGAGACGGUUUCCACAUCUACAGGUAUAGAGAAUAAGUCUAGAGGUAAGCCUAAUGUUUUGUCAAAUGAUAACAAUAUUAUAACAA